Molecule: ribosomal RNA, 397 nt
Filed under: uncultured bacterium
Lineage: Bacteria
Description: partial 16S ribosomal RNA
Rfam family: Bacterial small subunit ribosomal RNA
Source: RNAcentral
AUACGUAGGGGGCGAGCGUUGUCCGGAAUGAUUGGGCGUAAAGGGCGCGUAGGCGGCCCGGUAAGUCUGGAGUGAAAGUCCUGUUUUUAAGAUGGGAAUUGCUUUGGAUACUGUCGGGCUUGAGUGCAGGAGAGGUAAGUGGAAUUCCCAGUGUAGCGGUGAAAUGCGUAGAGAUUGGGAGGAACACCAGUGGCGAAGGCGACUUACUGGACUGUAACUGACGCUGAGGCGCGUAAGUGUGGGGAGCAAACAGGAUUAGAUACCCUGGUAGUCCACACUGUAAACGAUGAAUGCUAGGUGUAAGAGGUAUCGACCCCUUUUGUGCCGGAGUUAACACAAUAAGCAUUCCGCCUGGGGAGUACGGCCGCAAGGUUGAAACUCAAAUGAAUUGGCGGGG